AUUGAACGCUGGCGGCAGGCCCAACACAUGCAAGUCGAGCGGAUGAAGGGAGCUUGCUCCUGGAUUCAGCGGCGGACGGGUGAGUAAUGCCUAGGAAUCUGCCUGGUAGUGGGGGAUAACGUCCGGAAACGGGCGCUAAUACCGCAUACGUCCUGAGGGAGAAAGUGGGGGAUCUUCGGACCUCACGCUAUCAGAUGAGCCUAGGUCGGAUUAGCUAGUUGGUGGGGUAAAGGCCUACCAAGGCGACGAUCCGUAACUGGUCUGAGAGGAUGAUCAGUCACACUGGAACUGAGACACGGUCCAGACUCCUACGGGAGGCAGCAGUGGGGAAUAUUGGACAAUGGGCGAAAGCCUGAUCCAGCCAUGCCGCGUGUGUGAGGAAGGUCUUCGGAUUGUAAAGCACUUUAAGUUGGGAGGAAGGGCAGUAAGUUAAUACCUUGCUGUUUUGACGUUACCAACAGAAUAAGCACCGGCUAACUUCGUG
This 484-nucleotide ribosomal RNA is filed under the name uncultured bacterium. RNAcentral describes it as "partial 16S ribosomal RNA". It matches the Rfam family "Bacterial small subunit ribosomal RNA", at positions 30 to 507 of the family's 1533-position model. The record is from RNAcentral.